Molecule: long non-coding RNA, 893 nt
Filed under: Monodelphis domestica (gray short-tailed opossum)
Lineage: Eukaryota; Metazoa; Chordata; Mammalia; Didelphimorphia; Didelphidae
Description: lncRNA (ENSMODG00000042090.1)
Source: RNAcentral
CUGGGCAGCUUUGUCACCCACUAACUGGUUCUGGGUCCCAGAUUUGGAUUGGAUUUAGAAGAUCUGAUUCCAGGGAAGUGAUGUCGAGGUUUGGGAGGUCCUGGGUGGUGGAUGAAGAAAGGAGGAAGUUCAGAAGCCAUUAGCAACAGUGGUUCAGGCCCAUUUCAAGUCUCUAGCUUAGCCUACUGAGGAAUAACCAAGGCUAGAAUUCUAGACUAAAGGAGAGCCUACACUUCUGCCACUGUCACUAAUAGAGCUUUCCAGCUGGUGGAGGAGUCCAGCAACAAGUCUACUUGUUAGUCUUCUUGCUGAGACCUAAACUCAAGAAGCAAAUAGAAGCCAGAUACCCCCAAAAUGUUGGCCAUUGAUGCCUCUUGUGCUGAUCAAUUAAAGACAACUUCUCACCUGGUCCCUCAGUCCAGAAAGGCAUCACCCCGAGAAGUGCCCAUGUUUUUUUCCUGACUAAUAAAUGCCCAAGUGACAGCUGUACCACUUCACAUUUCAGACUUGGUGAGUUUUGUUCCUGGUCCUGUCCUUUGCCUAAUAGAGCUGAACCCUUCACAAAUGAGUGUUCCCUACUAGCAAAUGCCUUGGCUCUACUUUCAGAACCUGUGUGUGCAUUGAUUGCCUCAAUUGACAGAAUUUGAUUCAAGGUAGUGGACCGGCAGUCCUGCCACAGAAGAAGGUUGCUGGAGCCUUCAAGUGUUAUGACCUUCAUUAAUACUCUGUGCCCUGAAAUCACUUCAAAGUAAAAUAGCCCUGAAGAUUCCAGGGUCAAAUUCUCCUUGAAAUGCUAGAUGGAGAAGAAGGACAUCCUAGCAGAGAAGGGUUUAAUCAACAUAAAGAAAUCAAAAGCAUUACAAAAUAAAUAAAUAAAAAAUAAAAAGCUCUCA